GAGCAGGCAAAGGUUGUGCAAGCAUUGAUGAAAACAUGUUAAAACAUGAAGACAUUAUGAAACUCCUUAAAAAUAUAUAUUUUAUAUAGCGAGAAGUUGUCACUUUGCUCUAGUUCUACGAAUGCUUGCAGGAGACACAUGGAGAAGGAAUAUUUCUAUUUACCAGCUUGGAGACUAAAAGACCUUUCCACUCAUCUAUUUAUAUAUUGAUCAUAAUAAUAACUGCAAUCAACAAUUAGAGCUGGUGUGAAAUGUCACUGACAUUACACCAUUGAAAAGAAAUCACAAUCAUGGAAGUGUUAUGCUUGCUACACUCAGCUGUGACAUUUAAAUAUUUUGCUUUGACAUCCAGUAACAGUUUUGGCCAACAAUGUCAAAUAAAAAGAUGGGAGUUCCUUUAAA
Hemicordylus capensis (graceful crag lizard) is the source of this 402-nucleotide long non-coding RNA. RefSeq lists it as uncharacterized. The record is from RefSeq and is a predicted model, not a curated record. NCBI's taxonomy places the organism in Eukaryota, Metazoa, Chordata, Lepidosauria, Squamata, Cordylidae. The transcript has 2 exons.